Molecule: transfer RNA, 74 nt
Filed under: Planctomycetaceae bacterium
Lineage: Bacteria; Pseudomonadati; Planctomycetota; Planctomycetia; Planctomycetales; Planctomycetaceae
Description: tRNA-Val
Rfam family: tRNA
About the family: Transfer RNA (tRNA) molecules are approximately 80 nucleotides in length. Their secondary structure includes four short double-helical elements and three loops (D, anti-codon, and T loops). Further hydrogen bonds mediate the characteristic L-shaped molecular structure. tRNAs have two regions of fundamental functional importance: the anti-codon, which is responsible for specific mRNA codon recognition, and the 3' end, to which the tRNAs corresponding amino acid is attached (by aminoacyl-tRNA synthetases). tRNAs cope with the degeneracy of the genetic code in two manners: having more than one tRNA (with a specific anti-codon) for a particular amino acid; and 'wobble' base-pairing, i.e. permitting non-standard base-pairing at the 3rd anti-codon position.
Source: RNAcentral
GGGCGACUAGCUCAGUUGGUUAGAGCGCCGUCUUCACACGGCGGAGGUCUGCAGUUCGAGUCUGCAGUCGCCCA